This is a long non-coding RNA of Anguilla anguilla (European eel), 412 nucleotides long. RefSeq lists it as uncharacterized. The transcript has 3 exons. The record is from RefSeq and is a predicted model, not a curated record. Lineage: Eukaryota; Metazoa; Chordata; Actinopteri; Anguilliformes; Anguillidae.
AAGUGGAAUCAGGUGUGUUCGUGCUGGGCUAAGUCACAAGCCUGCUCCCACACCGGCCCUUACAGCACUGGCCCCACACAGCUCUGCCUCGGGACCAGGCUGAAGGCCCUGUCUCCUCGCCCCGCACCCUGGAGAGCGUGGGCGUCUGAGUUUCACAGCCUGCAGGGAGGGACUGGAGCACAUGGCCCAGGUGCUGCAGUUACCUGUGUGCAGCUACUUCAUGGCCAAGAGCUACAACUGAACAUCACAAGCAAGCAAAGGAAAAGAAGCCUUACGUCUGCAAUGCAGCUGACCAACCACUAGGGGCAGUGUGUGCGCAUGGUCUUCACCCUGCUUGGAGACUAGGAGAUGGCAGCAUCCACAGGUCCAUCGCACCUAGAGGUCACGGGCCAAGUACCCCAACAAAUGCCCC